UAUUUUGACAGAAAUCUCAAAUGUUAGUGUAUUGGUAGAAGCUCUACGCAAAUCAUUACGUAAAUGUAUCUUAUACACAUUGAUGCCGGGACCGCUUUUCGUAGUGCGAAUUUCCUCUCUAGGUAUAAUUACUCUAAGGUUAUAGCUCAUU
Long non-coding RNA from Bradysia coprophila, 151 nucleotides. Lineage: Eukaryota; Metazoa; Arthropoda; Insecta; Diptera; Sciaridae. The record is from RefSeq and is a predicted model, not a curated record.